GAUGAACGCUGGCGGCGUGCCUAAUACAUGCAAGUAGAACGCUGAAGGAAGGAGCUUGCUCUUUCCGGAUGAGUUGCGCACGGGUGAGUAACGCGUAGGUAACCUGCCUGGUAGCGGGGGAUAACUAUUGGAAACGAUAGCUAAUACCGCAUAACAGUAGAUGUUGCAUUAUAUCUACUUAAAAGGUGCAAUUGCACCACUACCAGAUGGACCUGCGUCGUAUUAGCUAGUUGGUGAGGUAACGGCUCACCAAGGCGACGAUACAUAGCCGACCUGAGAGGGUGAUAGGCCACGCUGGGACAUAGACACGGCCCAGACUCCAGCGGGAGGCAGCAGUAGGGAAACUUCGGCAAUGGACGGAAGUCUGACCGAGCAACGCCGCGUGAGUGAAGAAGGUUUUCGGAUCGUAAAGCUCUGUUGUAAGAGAAGAACGAGUGUGAGAGUGGAAAGUUCACACUGUGACGGUAUCUUACCAGAAAGGGACGGCUAACUACGUG
RNAcentral lists this ribosomal RNA (497 nucleotides) under uncultured bacterium. Its description in RNAcentral is "partial 16S ribosomal RNA". It matches the Rfam family "Bacterial small subunit ribosomal RNA", at positions 28 to 507 of the family's 1533-position model. The record is from RNAcentral.